UAAUAAGCAUUAAGCAACUUAAAUCAAUAACUCAGUCAUAAAUACACCAAUCAAUAUGAAAUUUUUACCAUAGUACAAGAGCAUCAUUUAUAGCCCACCAUAAAAAUUUCACAGAAAUUGGAGCACCACAACAUUAGAUAUAAAAAUGACAAGCAAAAUAAGUUGCCUAUUUAUCAAGAUUAAAUCAAAACAUGAUAAAAACAUUACACAACUAGCAUGUUCAAUAUUUUUCUUAGCUAGAGAGUGUCAUCACAAGACUAACAUAACUGAAAUCACAAUCUUUGGACUUCUAUAACUCAAAAUAUGCAUCCAACCAACUUAAAAGGAUUUCUAAAAGCACUUUGCAAGGAUAAAAAAAACAUCAGAAACUUUAUACUAACACAUAUCAUACUAUGACUCUAGUGUGUAAAUCUACUCACAAGGAUUCCAAAACAUCUUCAUUUGCUAUUUUACGAUUUUUACAAUUUACUAUAAAUUUCCAAAGUUGCAGCCUUUUUAGAUCUAGGAAAUAAAGAAAACCGAGGCAAACUUUCAAUCUAGCCCCCAGGUCUACGGGUUAUUUGCACAAAGGUCUCUGGAUUUCACCCAUAACCCCCUACACUUCUUUAUUCUUCUCCACACAAGUCCCUCAUGCCUAACAGAUCACACGCACGGUAACACACAGGCACGACCGGCCAUGGCCCUUGGCCAGCGGUAGGGAGAAAGAAGGGGCACGGCUUGGGGAGGGAGAGGGGCGGCGCACGGGGGCCAGGAAGCUCACCAGAAGGGGCCGGCGAUAAGGGAUAGGUGGCGCGCAGGGAGGCCCGUGGCGCAGGAAGCGGGCGGAUGGGGGCUCGCCGUGGAGAGAGUUGCCCGGCGAGGGAGGAUGGUCGAGAAGUAGCAAAAUGGAAGCGCGACGUCGAGAGGAUGCUCUAGAUGCAAGGAAUCGACCGGAGACUCAACAAUGGCGACGAAUUUGGCCAGCCAAGAAUGGAGAUUUGGAGGUUGGGGCACUACCCAUGGAGGAUGGGAGGAGGGGAGGCCGGCCUUGUUUAUAGGAGGGGGAGGGUGAGGAUAAGGAUGACGCGGUGACUCACCCCCGAGCGCAAAGAUUGGAGGGGAGGAGAGGUCCCAUUGGCACCGGCUAGGUGGAGCUCAGCCCCUCUAGGCCAAAAGCGUUCGUCUGGUGAUGUGAGGAAACAGAAGAAGUGCUGAUGCAUGGGCUCGCGGAGAAAUAAAACAUGCCAACUUUGACCCCUUAAACGGCCUAGCUAUCGGUGUCCAAAAAUUGUCCAAAAAUACUUGUUGGAACGAUAAAAUCACCAAAAAUCCAACGCAAUAGGAAUCAACUCGAAAGCUAUUAUAGUUUGCACAAAAUUGACAAAACAAAACAACUAAAAUUGAACUUUAAAUGAUUUUUUGGCACAAGAAAACAUCUCUGAAAAUUUGGUAAAAAUAUUUAAAUCACUAAAUGGUGUCUAAUAUUUGAAUAAAAUAUUCGGGGGCACAAUUGUAUGGAAGAAAUUGGGGUUCCUUCACAAAUUUGAUUUUUCACCAAUAAAUAACAAAAUUCUGGGCACUUAACAAUGCAUGGCCGAAACAUUCAUUUAUGCACAAAUGAUGCUCAUGAUGGCCAACUAUGUAGAAAAAGAUGUUCAUGAUUCUUAAUUAUGCAUGAUGGUGCUCGUGAUGCGUGUCGUGAUGAAGGUGUCGGGUUUAACGCGUAUUCUCACACCAAGUUCGAACUACGUGAUUUAAUUUCCAAAAGUGAAGGUUCGGCAACAAGGUAUGUGCUAUGACUUUUAUAAAGAUCAACAAGGAAAAGCUCGACGAAGUUGGGGAUAGGAUGGUAGGAUCUUUGGUGGAACGUCGGUCAAAGCUAUUUUGGAAUCGGAUUUGAAAUUUUACUGAUUGUCUACUCGAUUUUGGAACAACCUCUACUCAAAAUCAGAAGAAGUGCUGUGAGUGGAAGGUGUUCAAAUUUGUUUUUAUUUACUUCAUAAGUGAUUCUCAACAAGAGGGAGUUUUAACACUUGGUUCAAAAUCUGAGGUAUUUUUGGACCUUAACUCUCAACAAAUUUGGAGUUAGCUAUGAUUUGCUUCAAUCACCCCGUUGAUUAUUUGAUUUAGGUUCUUAGUUACUCGGGCUAUCAUAGUGGGUCAACCUCGACUGAAAAUGGAGGAAGAUCAUGGAACUGCUCAUAAUCUUCUGAAAUGUCAGUGUUAUCCUCAACUCCAACGAUUUUUCUUUUCCCUGAAAGAACUAUGUGGCGCUUUAGCUGGUCAUCUGACUUAUUAGUACCCCUCCUUAUUGGUUUACUUGACAUGCCCUUUACGUAGAAAACUUGAGUCACAUCAUUGGCUAAGACGAAUGGUUCAUCUCUAUAUCCAAUUUUGUUGAGAUCCACUAUUAUCAUCCCAUAGUUGUUUAUCGUUAUGCCUCCU
RNAcentral lists this long non-coding RNA (2424 nucleotides) under Setaria viridis. Its description in RNAcentral is "long non-coding RNA (SVIR_LNC000296)". The record is from RNAcentral. Lineage: Eukaryota; Viridiplantae; Streptophyta; Magnoliopsida; Poales; Poaceae.